Molecule: ribosomal RNA, 1493 nt
Filed under: Pseudomonas sp. SR3(2009)
Lineage: Bacteria; Pseudomonadati; Pseudomonadota; Gammaproteobacteria; Pseudomonadales; Pseudomonadaceae
Description: bacterial SSU rRNA
Rfam family: Bacterial small subunit ribosomal RNA
Source: RNAcentral
AGAGUUUGAUCCUGGCUCAGAUUGAACGCUGGCGGCAGGCCUAACACAUGCAAGUCGAGCGGUAGAGAGAAGCUUGCUUCUCUUGAGAGCGGCGGACGGGUGAGUAAUGCCUAGGAAUCUGCCUGGUAGUGGGGGAUAACGUUCGGAAACGGACGCUAAUACCGCAUACGUCCUACGGGAGAAAGCAGGGGACCUUCGGGCCUUGCGCUAUCAGAUGAGCCUAGGUCGGAUUAGCUAGUUGGUGAGGUAAUGGCUCACCAAGGCGACGAUCCGUAACUGGUCUGAGAGGAUGAUCAGUCACACUGGAACUGAGACACGGUCCAGACUCCUACGGGAGGCAGCAGUGGGGAAUAUUGGACAAUGGGCGAAAGCCUGAUCCAGCCAUGCCGCGUGUGUGAAGAAGGUCUUCGGAUUGUAAAGCACUUUAAGUUGGGAGGAAGGGUUGUAGAUUAAUACUCUGCAAUUUUGACGUUACCGACAGAAUAAGCACCGGCUAACUCUGUGCCAGCAGCCGCGGUAAUACAGAGGGUGCAAGCGUUAAUCGGAAUUACUGGGCGUAAAGCGCGCGUAGGUGGUUUGUUAAGUUGGAUGUGAAAUCCCCGGGCUCAACCUGGGAACUGCAUUCAAAACUGACUGACUAGAGUAUGGUAGAGGGUGGUGGAAUUUCCUGUGUAGCGGUGAAAUGCGUAGAUAUAGGAAGGAACACCAGUGGCGAAGGCGACCACCUGGACUAAUACUGACACUGAGGUGCGAAAGCGUGGGGAGCAAACAGGAUUAGAUACCCUGGUAGUCCACGCCGUAAACGAUGUCAACUAGCCGUUGGAAGCCUUGAGCUUUUAGUGGCGCAGCUAACGCAUUAAGUUGACCGCCUGGGGAGUACGGCCGCAAGGUUAAAACUCAAAUGAAUUGACGGGGGCCCGCACAAGCGGUGGAGCAUGUGGUUUAAUUCGAAGCAACGCGAAGAACCUUACCAGGCCUUGACAUCCAAUGAGCUUUCUAGAGAUAGAUUGGUGCCUUCGGGAACAUUGAGACAGGUGCUGCAUGGCUGUCGUCAGCUCGUGUCGUGAGAUGGUGGGUUAAGUCGCGUAACGAGCGCAACCCUUGUCCUUAUUUACCACCACGUUAUGGUGGGCACUCUAAGGAGACUGCCGGUGACAAACCGCGACGAAAAGUGGCGAUGACCUCCAGUCGUCAUGGUCAUUACGGUCUGGGCGAGAACCAUGCUACUAUGGUCUGCAGAUAGGUCCCCAACUCUCGAGCUGCAGGUAAUCCCAUAAAACCGAUCGUAGUCCGGAUCGCAGUCUGCAACUCGACUGCGUGAAGUCGGAAUCGCUAGUAAUCGCGAAUCAGAAUGUCGCGGUGAAUACGUUCCCGGGCCUUGUACACACCGCCCGUCACACCAUGGGAGUGGGUUGCACCAGAAGUAGCUAGUCUAACCUUCGGGAGGACGGUUACCACGGUGUGAUUCAUGACUGGGGUGAAGUCGUAACAAG